This is a long non-coding RNA of Syzygium oleosum, 482 nucleotides long. RefSeq lists it as uncharacterized. NCBI's taxonomy places the organism in Eukaryota, Viridiplantae, Streptophyta, Magnoliopsida, Myrtales, Myrtaceae. The transcript is spliced from 3 exons. The record is from RefSeq and is a predicted model, not a curated record.
GACAACUUCAUUCACCCAUUGAAUAUCGAUUAUCGACUACCAUAGAAUGGAAGAUUAACUCAGGUUUCCUUUCCAGGAUUUACAAUCCCAGCAGGUUGGGCGAUACUGCUUGUGCACGGCGCUCCUCAUUUCGACGCUGAUACUUACAAGGAUCCACUCAUUUUCAAUCUGUGGCAUUGGAAGGAGCUCGACUCGUUCGAGAUUUCAAAGAACUUCAGGCCUUUCGGCGGAGGGACGAGACAAAGUGCGGGAGCCAAGUAUACUAAGGUGGUCCUGGAGGUGUUCAUACACAUCUUGGUCACUAAAUACAGGUGGACCAAACUAAGGGGACAUGUGGUUUACAAUCCGAUGGCAGGAUUUGGAGAGGGCGUGCACAUUAAGGUCUUCGAUAGAACUUAGCUCUCUCUCUCUCACACACACACGUGAGUGAAAAUAAGUGUAUUGGAAUAACUGUGUAAGACAUGGAGGAAGAUCGGAUGUAC